RNAcentral lists this ribosomal RNA (253 nucleotides) under uncultured bacterium. Its description in RNAcentral is "partial 16S ribosomal RNA". It matches the Rfam family "Bacterial small subunit ribosomal RNA", at positions 524 to 776 of the family's 1533-position model. The record is from RNAcentral.
UACGAGAGGCCCAAACGUUAUUCGGAAUUACUGGGCUUAAAGAGUUCGUAGGCGGCAUGAAAAGCAGGGCGUGAAAGCCCUCGGCUCAACCGAGGAAUUGCGCUCUGAACUGUCGUGCUUGAGGAACCUAGAGGUGAGCAGAACAGAUGGUGGAGCGGUGAAAUGCGUUGAUAUCAUCUGGAAUACCGGAGGCGAAGGCGGCUCACUGGGGGUUUUCUGACGCUGAGGAACGAAAGCCAGGGUAGCGAACGGG